RNAcentral lists this ribosomal RNA (775 nucleotides) under uncultured Neocallimastigales. RNAcentral's name for it is "partial large subunit ribosomal RNA". It matches the Rfam family "Eukaryotic large subunit ribosomal RNA", at positions 22 to 616 of the family's 3401-position model. Lineage: Eukaryota; Fungi; Neocallimastigomycota; Neocallimastigomycetes; Neocallimastigales. The record is from RNAcentral.
GUACACGCUGUGACUAGCAUAUCAAUAAGCGGAGGAAAAGAAACUAACAAGGAUUCCCCUAGUAACGGCGAGUGAAGCGGGAAGAGCUCAAAUUUGAAAUCUUAAAGGUUUACCUUGACGAAUUGUAGUUUAAAGAAGUGUUUUCUGUUGAAGGUUUUGGUAAAAGUUCUUUGGAAUAGGACAUCAUAGAGGGUGAGAAUCCCGUAUUUGACCAUUUACUUUCAGCUUUGUGAUACACUUUCAAAGAGUCGGAUUGUUUGGGAAUGCAGUCCAAAAUGGGUGGUAAAUUUCAUCUAAAGCUAAAUAUUGGCGAGAGACCGAUAGCGAACAAGUACCGUGAGGGAAAGAUGAAAAGAACUUUGAAAAGAGAGUUAAACAGUACGUGAAAUUGUCAAAAGGGAAGCGUUUGACACCAGUGUUGUUUUUCUGAAAAUCAAUUAAAGAACUGUUUAUGCUAAGUUGUUUAGACUUUAUCAGCUAACUGUUUAGUUUUGAGCUUUUCUUUAAUGCACUUUUCAGUUAACAAGUCAACAUCAAUUUCUUUUGCUGUAAAAAAGCUUGAGGAAGGUGGCUUGAGAUUCGUCUUAAGUGUUUAUAGCCUCUUGCCUAUGCAGUCGGAGAGAUUGAGGUCUGCAGCGUAGAUCCUUCGGGGCUAAAUGCAUUUGUGCUAAGUUAUAGCAUUUUAUAGACAACUUGUUGACUAUGAUUUGUCUUGUAGCUUACUCGCUUAUGUUAUUUUACCUACGCUUAGGAUGUUGAGCGCAUGUCUCUCUCU